UACGUAGGUGGCAAGCGUUGUCCGGAAUUAUUGGGCGUAAAGCGCGCGCAGGCGGUUCCUUAAGUCUGAUGUGAAAGCCCACGGCUCAACCGUGGAGGGUCAUUGGAAACUGGGGGACUUGAGUGCAGAAGAGGAGAGCGGAAUUCCACGUGUAGCGGUGAAAUGCGUAGAGAUGUGGAGGAACACCAGUGGCGAAGGCGGCUCUCUGGUCUGUAACUGACGCUGAGGCGCGAAAGCGUGGGGAGCAAACAGGAUUAGAUACCCUGGUAGUC
RNAcentral lists this ribosomal RNA (272 nucleotides) under uncultured Anoxybacillus sp. RNAcentral's name for it is "partial 16S ribosomal RNA". It matches the Rfam family "Bacterial small subunit ribosomal RNA", at positions 524 to 795 of the family's 1533-position model. Lineage: Bacteria; Bacillati; Bacillota; Bacilli; Caryophanales; Anoxybacillaceae. The record is from RNAcentral.